UACGAAGGGGGCUAGCGUUGCUCGGAAUCACUGGGCGUAAAGGGUGCGUAGGCGGGUCUUUAAGUCAGGGGUGAAAUCCUGGAGCUCAACUCCAGAACUGCCUUUGAUACUGAGGAUCUUGAGUUCGGGAGAGGUGAGUGGAACUGCGAGUGUAGAGGUGAAAUUCGUAGAUAUUCGCAAGAACACCAGUGGCGAAGGCGGCUCACUGGCCCGAUACUGACGCUGAGGAGCGAAAGCGUGGGGAGCGAACAGG
RNAcentral lists this ribosomal RNA (253 nucleotides) under uncultured bacterium. RNAcentral describes it as "partial 16S ribosomal RNA". It matches the Rfam family "Bacterial small subunit ribosomal RNA", at positions 524 to 776 of the family's 1533-position model. The record is from RNAcentral.